CCUACGGGAGGCAGCAGUGGGGAAUAUUGGACAAUGGGCGAAAGCCUGAUCCAGCAAUGCCGCGUGAGUGAAGAAGGCCUUAGGGUUGUAAAGCUCUUUCGCCUGCGACGAUGAUGACGGUAGCAGGAGAAGAAGCCCCGGCUAAUUCCGUGCCAGCAGCCGCGGUAAUACGGAAGGGGCUAGCGUUGUUCGGAAUUACUGGGCGUAAAGCGCGCGUAGGCGGCUGGACAAGUGAGGCGUGAAAGUCCUGGGCUCAACCCGGGGACGGCGCUUCAGACUGUUCGGCUAGAGUCCGGAAGAGGGUGGUGGAAUUCCGAGUGUAGAGGUGAAAUUCGUAGAUAUUCGGAGGAACACCGGUGGCGAAGGCGGCCACCUGGUCCGGUACUGACGCUCAAGUGCGAAAGCGUGGGGAGCAAACAGGAUUAGAUACCCUGGUAGUCCACGCUGUAAACGAUGGGUGCUAGAUGUCGGGGGGCUUGCUCUUCGGUGUCGUAGCUAACGCGUUAAGCACCCCGCCUGGGGAGUACGGCCGCAAGGUUAAAACUCAAAUGAAUUGACGG
Molecule: ribosomal RNA, 560 nt
Filed under: uncultured bacterium
Lineage: Bacteria
Description: bacterial SSU rRNA
Rfam family: Bacterial small subunit ribosomal RNA
Source: RNAcentral